RNAcentral lists this long non-coding RNA (574 nucleotides) under Androctonus crassicauda. The record is from RNAcentral. Lineage: Eukaryota; Metazoa; Arthropoda; Arachnida; Scorpiones; Buthidae.
GCAUACUUUCCAUAUUGAUACCAAAAGUGUUCCGCCGCUACAAAAAGGUUGAGAACCACUGCCCUAGAGUAUGCUCUGGAAUACGGGAAGAAGAGGAAAAGGGACACUGAGGGAAAAUCUAAGGUAGCCAUCCUCAUCCCUAUGGGAUAUUCCUAUCCCAGAUCUCUGAAACCUGUUAUUGAAUCGUUUCACCGACAGAGUAAAAUAAGUCUAAGCGCCUGGUUAUCACAUCCGUUAGAAAACUCCGACAGAUCCGAAGAACAAACGCAAACUGAGGUGGCCACAACGACGAGCACAUCGACAACAACCCCGACUACACAGAUCCUCUGGCCGACUGAAAACCAAAAUAGAUCCGGUCGCGACCAGGAGACUGAAUUCCCUCCGCUUCGUGGGUCAGGGCGAGGUCGAAUUUCCCGAAGCCAUAGGCCAUAACGGGAAAAGGUUUCUCCUCCCUUCCCAUGGAGUUGGUCUGCACAUAUAUUUUAUAUCAUAUCAUAUAUUUAUUUUUCUAUUAAUUAGUAAUGUAUUAAUAUACUAUUAAAUAUGUAUCUCAUUCCAUAUACAUAUAUUGUAC